GACGAACGCUGGCGGCGUGCUUAACACAUGCAAGUGGAGCGACGAACCAGGCUUCGGCCUGGGGCAAAGCCGCGAACGGGUGAGUAACACGUGGGUAACCUGCCCCGAUGAUCGGGACAACCCGGGGAAACCCGGGCUAAUACCGGAUGUGCUCCCACCACACCAGUGGUGGGUGGAAAGGAAGCUUCGGCCUCCGCAUCGGGAGGGGCCCGCGGCCCAUUAGCUUGUUGGUGAGGUAACGGCUCACCAAGGCNGCGAUGGGUAGCUGGUCUGAGAGGACGAUCAGCCACACUGGGACUGAGACACGGCCCAGACUCCUACGGGAGGCAGCAGUGGGGAAUCUUGCGCAAUGCGCGAAAGCGUGACGCAGCAACGCCGCGUGGGGAAGAAGGCCUUCGGUU
RNAcentral lists this ribosomal RNA (401 nucleotides) under uncultured bacterium. Its description in RNAcentral is "bacterial SSU rRNA". It matches the Rfam family "Bacterial small subunit ribosomal RNA", at positions 28 to 423 of the family's 1533-position model. The record is from RNAcentral.